GCGGGCGUAGCUCAGCAGGUAGAGUGUCAGCUUCCCAAGCUGAAUGUCGCGAGUUCGAAUCUCGUCGCCCGCU
This 73-nucleotide transfer RNA is filed under the name Pseudomonadota bacterium. Its description in RNAcentral is "tRNA-Gly". It matches the Rfam family "tRNA". Rfam says of the family: Transfer RNA (tRNA) molecules are approximately 80 nucleotides in length. Lineage: Bacteria; Pseudomonadati; Pseudomonadota. The record is from RNAcentral. RNAcentral also lists the same sequence under 1 other name.